RNAcentral lists this ribosomal RNA (531 nucleotides) under uncultured bacterium. Its description in RNAcentral is "bacterial SSU rRNA". It matches the Rfam family "Bacterial small subunit ribosomal RNA", at positions 1 to 527 of the family's 1533-position model. The record is from RNAcentral.
UAGAGUUUGAUCAUGGCUCAGAGUGAACGCUGGCGGUAGGCCUAACACAUGCAAGUCGAACGGCAGCACAGAGGAGCUUGCUCCUUGGGUGGCGAGUGGCGGACGGGUGAGGAAUACAUCGGAAUCUACUUUUUCGUGGGGGAUAACGUAGGGAAACUUACGCUAAUACCGCAUACGACCUACGGGUGAAAGCAGGGGACCUUCGGGCCUUGCGCGAUUGAAUGAGCCGAUGUCGGAUUAGCUAGUUGGCGGGGUAAAGGCCCACCAAGGCGACGAUCCGUAGCUGGUCUGAGAGGAUGAUCAGCCACACUGGAACUGAGACACGGUCCAGACUCCUACGGGAGGCAGCAGUGGGGAAUAUUGGACAAUGGGCGCAAGCCUGAUCCAGCCAUACCGCGUGGGUGAAGAAGGCCUUCGGGUUGUAAAGCCCUUUUGUUGGGAAAGAAAUCCAGCCGGCUAAUACCUGGUUGGGAUGACGGUACCCAAAGAAUAAGCACCGGCUAACUUCGUGCCAGCCGCCGCGGUAAUUCA